This 511-nucleotide ribosomal RNA is filed under the name uncultured bacterium. RNAcentral's name for it is "bacterial SSU rRNA". It matches the Rfam family "Bacterial small subunit ribosomal RNA", at positions 31 to 536 of the family's 1533-position model. The record is from RNAcentral.
GAACGCUGGCGGCAGGCCCAACNCAUGCAAGUCGAGCGGUAGAGAGAAGCUUGCUUCUCUUGAGAGCGGCGGACGGGUGAGUAAUGCCUAGGAAUCUGCCUGGUAGUGGGGGAUAACGUCCGGAAACGGACGCUAAUACCGCAUACGUCCUACGGGAGAAAGCAGGGGACCUUCGGGCCUUGCGCUAUCAAAUGAGCCUAGGUCGGAUUAGCUAGUUGGUGAGGUAAUGGCUCACCAAGGCGACGAUCCGUAACUGGUCUGAGAGGAUGAUCAGUCACACUGGAACUGAGACACGGUCCAGACUCCUACGGAGAGGCAGCAGUGGGGAAUAUUGGACAAUGGGCGAAAGCCUGAUCCAGCCAUGCCGCGUGUGUGAAGAAGGUCUUCGGAUUGUAAAGCACUUUAAGUUGGGAGGAAGGGCAGUUACCUAAUACGUGAUUGUUUUGACGUUACCGACAGAAUAAGCACCGGCUAACUCUGUGCCAGCAGCCGCGGUAAUACAGAGGGUGCA